This 497-nucleotide long non-coding RNA is filed under the name Nicotiana benthamiana. Its description in RNAcentral is "long non-coding RNA (NBEN_LNC012027)". Lineage: Eukaryota; Viridiplantae; Streptophyta; Magnoliopsida; Solanales; Solanaceae. The record is from RNAcentral.
AAAAAAGAAGUAAAGAGAGAAGUCGGAAGACAAAGAAAAGAGAACAAAAACAUAAAAAAGAAGGGGGGCAGAGAGCGGAAAAGGAAAAGAGUAAAAAUUGUGCCAGUAAGAAAGAGAAAGAGAAAUUUUGAAGACGGAGUUCGAGAAUUCGUUCGCGGUUUCAAAUUUGAUGUUUUAAAAAAAUUAGCAUUGCUAGCUUUGAAAAUCGGUAAAUUGCGGCUGUUAGCUUUUUGAACUCUUAGCGAAAGAUUCCUUCUCCUCUUCUCAGUUAUGUUAACCUAUUAUGGAUUAUUCUUAAAUGUGUUUAUCUGCUUUGCUUAAAAGUCAUAUCUUACGCCGUUUCAUUAUUGUCAAUUUCCUUAAUUUAAGUAGUUUGGUGUUAUUGUCUACUUGUAUGUUUAACCUGUAGCUCAUUAGCUUUAUUUUUCUAUGUUUCUUUUAGCUUGUAGUUUUUUUAUUUUCAUGGAUAAUUUUGAUAUUGAGUAAAGAACAAAAAA